Molecule: long non-coding RNA, 307 nt
Organism: Dermacentor silvarum
Lineage: Eukaryota; Metazoa; Arthropoda; Arachnida; Ixodida; Ixodidae
Exons: 3
Source: RefSeq, a predicted model, not a curated record
CCGCAUGCUUAGAGCAGAUCGAAACAAAGAUGAAGUUGAUGUGGAAAUGAAACGGGCUCAACAGCAACAAGAAAAGGGCGGUAGCUGGGGCCACGAGCAGCGCCGAAUCGCAGGGCGAAAUGAGGUCAAUUGUGGCGACGCUCAUCCUCGCUGCCGUCGCCCUAAGGACCGCCGGCCAACAACGCGAGGAAGAACUGCCCUUCGACGACCUCAUGGCCACCAUCUGCCGUAAAUAUGAAAAUGCCGCCGACAGAAAGGAUGCUAUCAUGUGCGUUGGCGACCGAAUGGAAAUUGAACUGGAAGCCAU